This 492-nucleotide ribosomal RNA is filed under the name uncultured bacterium. Its description in RNAcentral is "partial 16S ribosomal RNA". It matches the Rfam family "Bacterial small subunit ribosomal RNA", at positions 29 to 507 of the family's 1533-position model. The record is from RNAcentral.
AGUGAACGCUGGCGGUAGGCCUAACACAUGCAAGUCGAACGGCAGCACAGUAAGAGCUUGCUCUUACGGGUGGCGAGUGGCGGACGGGUGAGGAAUACAUCGGAAUCUACUUUUUCGUGGGGGAUAACGUAGGGAAACUUACGCUAAUACCGCAUACGACCUACGGGUGAAAGCAGGGGAUCUUCGGACCUUGCGCGAUUGAGUGAGCCGAUGUCGGAUUAGCUAGUUGGCGGGGUCAAGGCCCACCAAGGCGACGAUCCGUAGCUGGUCUGAGAGGAUGAUCAGCCACACUGGAACUGAGACACGGUCCAGACUCCUACGGGAGGCAGCAGUGGGGAAUAUUGGACAAUGGGCGCAAGCCUGAUCCAGCCAUACCGCGUGGGUGAAGAAGGCCUUCGGGUUGUAAAGCCCUUUUGUUGGGAAAGAAAAGCAGCAGGUUAAUACCCCGCUGUUCUGACGGUACCCAAAGAAUAAGCACCGGCUAACUUCGUG